UACGGAGGGUCCAAGCGUUAUCCGGAAUCAUUGGGUUUAAAGGGUCCGUAGGCGGUUUGAUAAGUCAGUGGUGAAAUCUUUCGGCUCAACCGAGAAAUGGCCAUUGAUACUGUCAGACUUGAAUUAUUAGGAAGUAACUAGAAUAUGUAGUGUAGCGGUGAAAUGCUUAGAUAUUACAUGGAAUACCAAUUGCGAAGGCAGGUUACUAUCAAUAUAUUGACGCUGAUGGACGAAAGCGUGGGGAGCGAACAGG
Molecule: ribosomal RNA, 253 nt
Filed under: uncultured bacterium
Lineage: Bacteria
Description: partial 16S ribosomal RNA
Rfam family: Bacterial small subunit ribosomal RNA
Source: RNAcentral